GUAGAAUUAUGGUUAUAGGUGAUUACAUAUUUUAUAAGUAUUUUUUGGUGAUUAACCGAGUCAAAUAUAUAUACUACAGGACAGCAAUUAUAUUUUGCACUUUUAACUUUCUGCAUUAACUAUAUUCAUUUAUUAUCAAUAAGCAAAUCAUGGCUGAUUUAGAGCUCUAUUAUGAGAUGCGAAAUAUAAUAAAGGCUGGAAAUCUUGAAAAAAUGAAACAAAUAAUAAACAAUUACGGGUUAUCAUAUUGUUCCGCUUGGGAUGAUGGUUAUAAACUACUCACAGAAGCUUGUGUACAAAAUCACAGUCAUUUAGCAGAGUAUCUGCUAUCGAAAAAUGCUAAAAUCAACUGUGACUAUGAUCUAAUGUCACCUCUUCAAGCAGCUGUUAUGAAUAACAAUAAAAAAUUAAUUAAAUUACUUUUGGAGCAUGGCGCUAAAGCUUAUACAAAUAGAAAUAAUGGACCGCUUCAAAUAGCUAUUAAAAAUAAAAGUUUUGAAAUUGCAAAACUUUUGAGCAUAAUGCUGUUAAUAAAAGCAUUCAUGAAUUAUCCGAUACCCCGGAAGAUCCAGCGCUACAUUUGGCUGUUCUUAGCGGUGAAUACUCAAUGGUUAGACUACUGUUAGAAAAUGGUUUUAACGUACAUGUCAGCGAUUCUAAAGGAUCAAAAUCAAUUCAUUUGGCUAUUAGAUUGAGACUUUUAAGCAUUGUACAAUUGUUGUUGGAGUUUGAUGCAGAUGUAAAUGCAAAAACUAAAGAAGGAUAUACUCCGCUUUUCCUGACUUUAUUUCUCUCGCAGAUUCGAUUUACGGACGACGAAAUUCCAGUAAGUUCU
Long non-coding RNA from Cotesia glomerata, 835 nucleotides. RefSeq lists it as uncharacterized. The record is from RefSeq and is a predicted model, not a curated record. The transcript has 2 exons. NCBI's taxonomy places the organism in Eukaryota, Metazoa, Arthropoda, Insecta, Hymenoptera, Braconidae.